CUCCUUGCAGGGGAGGGGAAGGAGGUGGAAAUCAGAGACCCUCUGGGGAGAACAGUUUCUGGCUCCACCCCUUGUAUCUUACAUUGAGUGGAAGAUUUUGGUAGAAGUCGAGACCCAUCCAGUUGGCGCGUGGGUUGAAGGGAGGAUGGCAUCAAGGAAAACUUCUUGGAGGAGGGGCUGAUUAUUCCCAUUCUGAGAACAGAACACCGAGUCAUGAGGGAGAUCCUGCUGCUCCAGGUCGCUGCAAAGAAUUAUAAAAAGACCCCAAGGAGUGAUUUGGGGCCUGGUUCCAGGACAUGGAGCUGCUCAACGAGAAUGAGUCAAACACCAAGGGUAGAGGUCAUCAAAAGAUCAAGUCUAAUCUACCUACGGGUGUGGCAGCCUUAACUAUGGAUGUUCAAGCCAGACAUUGCCAGAAGAACUACAUCUCUUCACCCAUAGAAGAUGCAACCUACAGCUGAAGAGAAACAGAUACAACACCAAUAUCUUAUCCUCUCUGAAGCCAAACUGAGAGCCCCUGGAGUCAGAAGUUUCCAAGAAAAGAAAAAGUCAUCCAUCUUCGGAAGAGAGACAGUAGAGCACGGACUGUAGGAGAAAGCCCAGAGGAGCAAUGAAGACAAAGAAGACAUGACACCUGCAAAAAGUCAGUGGAGUAUUUCUACGUAACAAACCUUCCAGGUGAGUGACGGUCAGUAUCUUCCACUGAUCCAGCUCUCACAAUAAACCUAGAACAUGCCCAAGGUAAGCUGGAGGACUACGCCCCACUAGUCCAUUCCCUGCCCAGGGCCUGUUUGUGCAGGGUGACUGCCAUCAAGCAGACAAUGGACUCAGGAUGGAGCAUGUGCCUUUGGGGAGGCUGGUAGAGAGGGACAAAGUGGAACACCAGCUAAGUGCACACACCUGAGAGGUGGAGUUCCAGGAGGAGACUCAAAAUGUACCAAGAAACUGCGUGAAGGGAGCUACUCGACCUCUCUGAGCCUCAGUGUCCCCCCCUGUAAAAUGGGGAUGACAGGCCUACU
This is a long non-coding RNA of Diceros bicornis minor, 1019 nucleotides long. RefSeq lists it as uncharacterized. NCBI's taxonomy places the organism in Eukaryota, Metazoa, Chordata, Mammalia, Perissodactyla, Rhinocerotidae. The transcript is spliced from 5 exons. The record is from RefSeq and is a predicted model, not a curated record.